GAUGAACGCUGGCGGCGUGCCUAAUACAUGCAAGUCGAGCGAACAGACGAGGAGCUUGCUCCUUCGACGUUAGCGGCGGACGGGUGAGUAACACGUAGGUAACCUACCUAUAAGACUGGGAUAACUUCGGGAAACCGGAGCUAAUACCGGAUAAUAUUUCGAACCGCAUGGUUCGAUAGUGAAAGAUGGCUUUGCUAUCACUUAUAGAUGGACCUGCGCCGUAUUAGCUAGUUGGUAAGGUAACGGCUUACCAAGGCAACGAUACGUAGCCGACCUGAGAGGGUGAUCGGCCACACUGGAACUGAGACACGGUCCAGACUCCUACGGGAGGCAGCAGUAGGGAAUCUUCCGCAAUGGGCGAAAGCCUGACGGAGCAACGCCGCGUGAGUGAUGAAGGUCUUCGGAUCGUAAAACUCUGUUAUUAGGGAAGAACAAACGUGUAAGUAACUGUGCACGUCCUGACGGUACCUAAUCAGAAAGCCACGGCUAACUACGUG
RNAcentral lists this ribosomal RNA (497 nucleotides) under uncultured bacterium. RNAcentral describes it as "partial 16S ribosomal RNA". It matches the Rfam family "Bacterial small subunit ribosomal RNA", at positions 28 to 507 of the family's 1533-position model. The record is from RNAcentral.